UGGUGCGGUCGAGAAGACUCGAACUUCCACGAGUUGCCCCACAGCGACCUCAACGCUGCGCGUCUACCAAUUCCGCCACGACCGC
RNAcentral lists this transfer RNA (85 nucleotides) under Bartonella bacilliformis. Its description in RNAcentral is "tRNA-Leu". The record is from RNAcentral. Lineage: Bacteria; Pseudomonadati; Pseudomonadota; Alphaproteobacteria; Hyphomicrobiales; Bartonellaceae.